GGCUCGGUAGCUUAGUGGUAGAGCAGGGGACUCAUAAUCCCAAGGUCACAGGUUCAAUCCCCGUUCGAGCCA
Transfer RNA from Micromonas pusilla CCMP1545, 72 nucleotides. It matches the Rfam family "tRNA". Rfam says of the family: Transfer RNA (tRNA) molecules are approximately 80 nucleotides in length. Their secondary structure includes four short double-helical elements and three loops (D, anti-codon, and T loops). The record is from Rfam. Lineage: Eukaryota; Viridiplantae; Chlorophyta; Mamiellophyceae; Mamiellales; Mamiellaceae.